RNAcentral lists this long non-coding RNA (692 nucleotides) under Aotus nancymaae (Ma's night monkey). Its description in RNAcentral is "lncRNA (ENSANAG00000039420.1)". Lineage: Eukaryota; Metazoa; Chordata; Mammalia; Primates; Aotidae. The record is from RNAcentral.
GGCAGCAGAAAUGAAGGGGAUGGUCCUUUUAUUGGAGGGGUACAGCGAGGCAGCAGUCUCCCCAGAGGGUCUGGUGACAGCGAGCCAAUGUUGGUGAGACUACAGAGAAAGAGGCAGACCGAGCUAACCAGACCCGGGACUUGUCUUCAUCUGCAAAUGGCAAAUAAAGAUGAACAUGUUCAACUGAUGGAUGAGAAGCACAUCCAGGCCCAGGAUUCCUUCUACUACUCUGGGACUCAAGCAGAUACAUGGCUUCUGUUCUUGAGGAAAUUGAGAAUGUAGAAGGAUGCAAACAUUCUAGACAUAAGCAUGAACCCAUUGACCCAACAAGUACAUGUUGAACACCUACAGUAUGCUAGACAGGCCCAGGUAAAUGGCUUGGCCCUGAAGACAUAGGUGAUAUUUUCAGAAUAAAAUUCUUCUCCCUUUCUCUUGUUUCCUUAACACUGGUAGUCAAACCAUUGACUGAUCAGUAUGUGCAGGUCCAUGAGCUUUCUGAAUGUAACCAUUGUAUUCCCCAGUCUACCCAAGUGAUGAGGAAAUAACAAGUUUUGGGUCUGAUUCCCAGAAUUCUUGAUAGAAAUAUACAAACGAGCCUCUUAAAUCUCUUCUUGCACAUGGAAAGCAAGCUAGCCAAGGAGAGACUUUCAUGGGUCAUUAGGUACCGUCCUGCUGCUCAAUGUACUUUUAAA